AUUUUGCCCAAUGGACGAAAGUCUGCGGCAGCAACUCCGCGUGAGGGACGAAGGCUCUCGGGUCGUAAACCUCUUUUCUCAGGGAAGAUCCAAGACGGUACCUGAGGAAUAAGCCACGGCUAACUACGUUCCAGCAGCCGCGGUAAUACGUAGGUGGCAAGCGUUGUCCGGAUUUACUGGGCGUAAAGAGCGCGCAGGCGGCUGGUCAAGUCCGAUGUGAAAGCUCCCGGCUUAACUGGGAAACUGCAUUCGAAACUGAUCAGCUUGAAGAUGGGAGAGGGUAGUGGAAUUCCCGGUGUAGUGGUGAAAUGCGUAGAUAUCGGGAGGAACACCAGUGGCGAAGGCGACUACCUGGCCCAUUCUUGACGCUGAGGCGCGAAAGCUAGGGGAGCGAA
Molecule: ribosomal RNA, 395 nt
Filed under: uncultured bacterium
Lineage: Bacteria
Description: bacterial SSU rRNA
Rfam family: Bacterial small subunit ribosomal RNA
Source: RNAcentral